UACGGGGGGUGCAAGCGUUGUCCGGAUUUAUUGGGUUUAAAGGGUGCGCAGGCGGCCAGAUAAGUCAGUGUUAAAAGACCGGGGCUCAACUCCGGGAUUGGCAAUGAUACUGUUUGGCUAGAGUGAUUGCGAGGAAGGCGGAAUUCCUGGUGUAGCGGUGAAAUGCAUAGAUACCAGGAGGAACACCGAUAGCGAAGGCAGCUUUCCAGCAGUUAACUGACGCUCAUGCACGAAAGUGUGGGGAUCAAACAGG
Molecule: ribosomal RNA, 253 nt
Filed under: uncultured bacterium
Lineage: Bacteria
Description: partial 16S ribosomal RNA
Rfam family: Bacterial small subunit ribosomal RNA
Source: RNAcentral